AGAGUUUGAUCCUGGCUCAGGACGAACGCUGGCGGCGUGCCUAAUACAUGCAAGUCGAGCGAAUCGAUGGGAGCUUGCUCCCUGAGAUUAGCGGCGGACGGGUGAGUAACACGUGGGCAACCUGCCUGUAAGACUGGGAUAACUCCGGGAAACCGGAGCUAAUACCGGAUAGUAUCUUGAACCGCAUGGUUCAAGUUGGAAAGACGGUUUCGGCUGUCACUUACAGAUGGGCCCGCGGCGCAUUAGCUAGUUGGUGAGGUAAUGGCUCACCAAGGCAACGAUGCGUAGCCGACCUGAGAGGGUGAUCGGCCACACUGGGACUGAGACACGGCCCAGACUCCUACGGGAGGCAGCAGUAGGGAAUCUUCCGCAAUGGACGAAAGUCUGACGGAGCAACGCCGCGUGAGUGAUGAAGGUUUUCGGAUCGUAAAACUCUGUUGUUAGGGAAGAACAAGUGCGAGAGUAACUGCUCGCACCUUGACGGUACCUAACCAGAAAGCCACGGCUAACUACGUGCCAGCAGCCGCGGUAAUACGUAGGUGGCAAGCGUUGUCCGGAAUUAUUGGGCGUAAAGCGCGCGCAGGCGGUUUCUUAAGUCUGAUGUGAAAGCCCCCGGCUCAACCGGGGAGGGUCAUUGGAAACUGGGAAACUUGAGUGCAGAAGAGGAGAGUGGAAUUCCACGUGUAGCGGUGAAAUGCGUAGAGAUGUGGAGGAACACCAGUGGCGAAGGCGACUCUCUGGUCUGUAACUGACGCUGAGGCGCGAAAGCGUGGGGAGCGAACAGGAUUAGAUACCCUGGUAGUCCACGCCGUAAACGAUGAGUGCUAAGUGUUAGAGGGUUUCCGCCCUUUAGUGCUGCAGCUAACGCAUAAGCACUCCGCCUGGGGAGUACGGCCGCAAGGCUGAAACUCAAAGGAAUUGACGG
This 925-nucleotide ribosomal RNA is filed under the name Bacillus sp. (in: firmicutes). RNAcentral's name for it is "bacterial SSU rRNA". It matches the Rfam family "Bacterial small subunit ribosomal RNA", at positions 8 to 916 of the family's 1533-position model. The record is from RNAcentral. Lineage: Bacteria; Bacillati; Bacillota; Bacilli; Caryophanales; Bacillaceae.